This 480-nucleotide ribosomal RNA is filed under the name uncultured Alphaproteobacteria bacterium. Its description in RNAcentral is "bacterial SSU rRNA". It matches the Rfam family "Bacterial small subunit ribosomal RNA", at positions 235 to 732 of the family's 1533-position model. Lineage: Bacteria; Pseudomonadati; Pseudomonadota; Alphaproteobacteria. The record is from RNAcentral.
GUCGGAUUAGCUAGUUGGUGAGGUAACGGCUCACCAAGGCGACGAUCCGUAGCUGGUCUGAGAGGAUGAUCAGCCACACUGGGACUGAGACACGGCCCAGACUCCUACGGGAGGCAGCAGUGGGGAAUAUUGGACAAUGGGCGCAAGCCUGAUCCAGCAAUGCCGCGUGAGUGAUGAAGGCCUUAGGGUUGUAAAGCUCUUUCGGCGGGGAAGAUGAUGACGGUACCCGCAGAAGAAGCCCCGGCUAACUUCGUGCCAGCAGCCGCGGUAAUACGAAGGGGGCUAGCGUUGUUCGGAAUUACUGGGCGUAAAGGGCGCGUAGGCGGCGCAUUAAGUCAGGUGUGAAAGCCCUGGGCUCAACCCAGGAAUUGCACUUGAUACUGAUGCGCUUGAAUCCGGAAGAGGAUGACGGAAUUCCCAGUGUAGAGGUGAAAUUCAUUGAUAUUGGGAAGAACACCAGUGGCGAAGGCGGUCAUCUGG